GCGGGUGUAGCACAACGGUAGUGCGGAACAUUGCCAAUGUUCAGACAGGGGUUCGACUCCCCUUACCCGCUCCA
Molecule: transfer RNA, 74 nt
Filed under: Candidatus Nealsoniibacteriota bacterium
Lineage: Bacteria; Candidatus Nealsoniibacteriota
Description: Candidatus Nealsonbacteria bacterium tRNA-Gly
Rfam family: tRNA
About the family: Transfer RNA (tRNA) molecules are approximately 80 nucleotides in length. Their secondary structure includes four short double-helical elements and three loops (D, anti-codon, and T loops).
Source: RNAcentral